This 253-nucleotide ribosomal RNA is filed under the name uncultured bacterium. RNAcentral's name for it is "partial 16S ribosomal RNA". It matches the Rfam family "Bacterial small subunit ribosomal RNA", at positions 524 to 776 of the family's 1533-position model. The record is from RNAcentral.
UACGUAGGGUGCGAGCGUUGUCCGGAAUCACUGGGCAUAAAGAGCGCGUAGGCGGUCUGACAAGUCCCCUGUGAAAGCCCCCGGCUUAACCGGGGAACUGCAUGGGAUACUGUUGGGCUAGAGUGCAGGAGGGGAGAGCGGAAUUCCUGGUGGAGCGGUGAAAUGCGUAGAUAUCAGGAGGAACGCCGGCGGCGAAAGCGACUCUCUGGCCUGUAACUGACGCUGAGGCGCGAAAGCUAGGGGAGCAAACGGG